AGGCUGCUAGAUAUAAUGAUAUUGAAGAUGUCAAAAACUUAGAUGCCAUUGGGAUUCCUCUUGAUUCCAAGGAUGCCCAAGGCCGAACAGCACUUCAUAUGGCUUCAGCAAAUGGAAAUGUCGACAUAGUUAACUAUCUAAUCAGCAAUAACGCGGUAAGGGAACCAACCCAUGAGAUAAAUGCAUCAUAGUUUAUAAUAGCGAACUUGAUUCUUCUUUCUGUCACAUAUUUUCAUUAUUUGUCACAGCCCGUUCUGACCGGCAUUUAGCCAAAACCUGUUUUGACCCGAACCAAAAAGAACACUUUUUAGAGUGGCCCAUUCUGACCCAAACCCAGUGUGACCCAUUACCCUGCACCACCCAUUUUGCCAGGUAUAGUUUCAUAACACAACUAGGUUACUGGACAUCCGAUGACGGCCUCUCUAAUUUAACCUUUAUUUUUCUAUUUAAGCAAAA
Long non-coding RNA from Helianthus annuus (common sunflower), 456 nucleotides. RefSeq lists it as uncharacterized. The transcript has 2 exons. The record is from RefSeq and is a predicted model, not a curated record. Lineage: Eukaryota; Viridiplantae; Streptophyta; Magnoliopsida; Asterales; Asteraceae.